GUUUCAGGGCGGGGCGAAAUUCCCCACUGGCGGUAACGGGCAAGGCCCGAAGUCCGCGAGCCGCAAUGAGGCGGCCGACCUGGUGAGAUUCCAGGACCAACGGUUACAGUCCGGAUGGAAGAAA
This 124-nucleotide non-coding RNA is filed under the name bovine gut metagenome. Its description in RNAcentral is "FMN riboswitch (RFN element)". It matches the Rfam family "FMN riboswitch aptamer (RFN element)". Rfam says of the family: The RFN element is a highly conserved domain that is found frequently in the 5'-untranslated regions of prokaryotic mRNAs that encode for flavin mononucleotide (FMN) biosynthesis and transport proteins. The record is from RNAcentral.